This is an RNA transcript of Oncorhynchus kisutch (coho salmon), 1916 nucleotides long. It is a transcript of the gene named GRAM domain-containing protein 2A, with no coding region annotated. The record is from RefSeq and is a predicted model, not a curated record. NCBI's taxonomy places the organism in Eukaryota, Metazoa, Chordata, Actinopteri, Salmoniformes, Salmonidae. The transcript is spliced from 14 exons.
UAGGCUGGUAACAGGAGAAGGCUGACUCUGCCUCUAGCCAUCUAUCAGCUGCUGCUCUCUGUGGGCUAAAGUCAGGUAGGAAACUAGAGAGACAGGCUGGGCGUAUACUGCAGCACAUUGGGGGCUAAGUGUGUGUGAGAGAGUCGGUUUACACCGACACAGUCAGUGAAGUACAGAAGGGUGGAGUGGAGAGGAGCUCAGUGGGAGUGUGAGUGUGCGUGGAGGAGUGUGAGAGACAUUUAACCACUUCAGACCAUGAACAUGAAGCACCGGAGGUUCUCCCUUGACAGCUCAGUGUCCCUGGAGGAUGGUGAUGGAGGUAAUCUGCUGGACCAGAGGAAAGGCAGCCGCAGUAGGCCUAAGAAGAGUGGAGAGAGGAGGAAAAGCCACAGUCUAGAGGAGGCACAGCUAGAAACACAGGGGCUGGGAUGCAGCCUGAACCGGAGCAACUCACUCAGGUCACAGACCAUAGAGGAGGAGAGCUUCCAUCGGCCUGAUGGCGUCAUUGUCACCAAAAAUAGCUUUGUGAAAUACAACAAAGCCUUUCACAAACUCUUCGAAGACAUUCCUGCAGAGGAGAAACUAACUCAUGCGUUCACCUGUGCCCUGCAGAAGGAAGUGUUGUAUCAUGGGAAGCUAUUUGUGUCUGUCAACUAUGUGUGUUUCUACUCCUCCGUACUCCUCAAAGACACCAAGGUGGUGGUUCACGUGUCCAGCAUUAAGGAAGUGAAAAAGCAGAACUCAGCCUUGUCUAUGCUCUCCAUCCACACUACGGAUGGAGACAAGUAUUUGUUGGUGUCUUUGCGGAACCGGCAAGUGUGUUACAAAAUCCUGCAGACUGUGUGUACACAAGCACAGACUGUGUUCACACAGCAGCAGGGGGAGCAGGGGGAGAAUGGUAGCAGCAGUUCCCACGUCUCGCCAGGAGAGAACGGUGUUGACGACGUGAAUCAGGACAUAGCCACGAUAUCCAGCCACUCUAGCCUGGAGGACAGUAUGGAGCAGAGCCUUCCUAAAGAGACUGUCUACUCUGACCUGCCCAGCAGAGGGAGGGACAGCUCCACUCCUAGAAGCAGCAUCAGCAAAGACCAGGACGAUCAGUUCACAUUCACAGAGGAGGACGACUCAGCUAACUCGUGUUUUUGGAGAGUCACUGAAAGGAUUAAAUCUCUCCUCCUCAUCAGAGAGAUGAGCAACCUCAACGUCCUCCUCUCCAUCUAUCUGUUUCUCUUAUGCCUUCCUAACUUGCCGAAGAGGAAGGAAACCAUUCAGGAAUUUCACCAGGAGGCCAAUGGGUGGUGCUUCUACUGCUGUCAUCAGGGUACAUCGGCCUGCGGAUCUUAGCACUGGAGGAGCAGCUGAGUUCCCUAGGGGCCCUGCCUGAGUUCUCCAUACACCACAGAGAGUGAGCAAACACGCACGCACCGCGGGAUACAGGUACAAGGAAACGUAGUCUGCAGAGACACACAAGCAGGAAGAAUAAAGAGCAAGACUGUUUGUCCAAAGCCACAGGACAACAAACUACGCAGAUCCACUUACUGUAUAAAGGGUCUCAAUUUCACGUCGUCUUGUGACUCGUGCGAUGGACCAUUGUUAAAAUACUCAGUAUUUAUUUGUGGAUCUCCCGAUCUGUUGAGGAGACAGAUCACUUAGAAUCUACGACUCUAGCGCCCCGUAGUGGUGUUUCUCAGAAAUGUGGAAAAUGUUGACUUCAUACAAAGCAACAUACCUUUUUACCUUUUUCUUGGUAGCCUAUAUUUAGUAGAAUUUGAUUUCAGGCCGUCGCAGUCCACUCCUAAAAUAAAUUGUCUUCCUGCUCUAUUUGUUUGUCUCAACUCAACUGGUUAUGCCUGUUUUAUUGUCUUGCUGUAAAUUGUGUUAUUUUUGAAAGUAAUUAAAGUCAGCAAUUACUUUAA